GGGGAAUAUUGGACAAUGGGGGCAACCCUGAUCCAGCAAUGCCGCGUGUGUGAAGAAGGUCUUCGGAUUGUAAAGCACUUUCGACGGGGACGAUGAUGACGGUACCCGUAGAAGAAGCCCCGGCUAACUUCGUGCCAGCAGCCGCGGUAAUACGAAGGGGGCUAGCGUUGCUCGGAAUGACUGGGCGUAAAGGGCGUGUAGGCGGUUUACACAGUCAGAUGUGAAAUCCCCGGGCUUAACCUGGGAGCUGCAUUUGAUACGUGUAGACUAGAGUGUGAGAGAGGGUUGUGGAAUUCCCAGUGUAGAGGUGAAAUUCGUAGAUAUUGGGAAGAACACCGGUGGCGAAGGCGGCAACCUGGCUCAUGACUGACGCUGAGGCGCGAAAGCGUGGGGAGCAAACAGGAUUAGAUACCCUGGUAGUCCACGCUG
RNAcentral lists this ribosomal RNA (429 nucleotides) under uncultured bacterium. RNAcentral's name for it is "partial 16S ribosomal RNA". It matches the Rfam family "Bacterial small subunit ribosomal RNA", at positions 356 to 802 of the family's 1533-position model. The record is from RNAcentral.